RNAcentral lists this ribosomal RNA (465 nucleotides) under uncultured bacterium. RNAcentral describes it as "partial 16S ribosomal RNA". It matches the Rfam family "Bacterial small subunit ribosomal RNA", at positions 338 to 795 of the family's 1533-position model. The record is from RNAcentral.
CCUACGGGAGGCUGCAGUGGGGAAUAUUGCGCAAUGGGCGCAAGCCUGACGCAGCGACGCCGCGUGAGGGAUGAAGGUCUUCGGAUCGUAAACCUCUGUCAGCAGGGAAGAACGGUCACUGUGCUAAUCAGCAGUGAAUUGACGGUACCUGCAAAGGAAGCACCGGCUAACUCCGUGCCAGCAGCCGCGGUAAUACGGAGGGUGCGAGCGUUAAUCGGAAUUACUGGGCGUAAAGCGCUCGUAGGCGGUCUGUCAAGUCAAGGGUGAAAUCCCCGGGCUCAACGUGGGAACUGCCUUUGAAACUGGCAAGCUGGAGUGUGUGAGAGGGUAGUAGAAUUCCAGGUGUAGCGGUGAAAUGCGUAGAGAUCUGGAGGAACAUCAGUGGCGAAGGCGACUACCUGGCACAAGACUGACGCUGAGGAGCGAAAGCGUGGGUAGCAAACAGGAUUAGAUACCCGGGUAGUC